RNAcentral lists this ribosomal RNA (819 nucleotides) under uncultured Actinomycetes bacterium. RNAcentral describes it as "bacterial SSU rRNA". It matches the Rfam family "Bacterial small subunit ribosomal RNA", at positions 335 to 1167 of the family's 1533-position model. Lineage: Bacteria; Bacillati; Actinomycetota; Actinomycetes. The record is from RNAcentral.
ACUCCUACGGGAGGCAGCAGUGGGGAAUAUUGCACAAUGGGCGAAAGCCUGAUGCAGCGACGCCGCGUGAGGGACGAAGGCCUUCGGGUUGUAAACCUCUUUCAGCAGGGAAGAAGCGAAAGUGACGGUACCUGCAGAAGAAGCACCGGCUAACUACGUGCCAGCAGCCGCGGUAGUACGUAGGGUGCAAGCGUUGUCCGGAAUUAUUGGGCGUAAAGAGCUCGUAGGCGGUUUGUCGCGUCUGCCGUGAAAACUCAGGGCUUAACCCUGAGCCUGCGGUGGGUACGGGCAGACUAGAGUGUGGUAGGGGAGAUCGGAAUUCCUGGUGUAGCGGUGGAAUGCGCAGAUAUCAGGAGGAACACCGGUGGCGAAGGCGGAUCUCUGGGCCAUAACUGACGCUGAGGAGCGAAAGCAUGGGGAGCGAACAGGAUUAGAUACCCUGGUAGUCCAUGCCGUAAACGUUGGGCGCUAGGUGUGGGGCUCAUUCCACGAGUUCCGUGCCGCAGCUAACGCAUUAAGCGCCCCGCCUGGGGAGUACGGCCGCAAGGCUAAAACUCAAAGGAAUUGACGGGGGCCCGCACAAGCGGCGGAGCAUGCGGAUUAAUUCGAUGCAACGCGAAGAACCUUACCAAGGCUUGACAUACAGAGAAAACUGUCAGAGAUGGCAGGUCCUUACGGGCUCUGUACAGGUGGUGCAUGGUUGUCGUCAGCUCGUGUCGUGAGAUGUUGGGUUAAGUCCCGCAACGAGCGCAACCCUCGUUCUAUGUUGCCAGCGGAUAAUGCCGGGGACUCAUAGGAGACUGCCGGGGUCAACUCGGA